This 423-nucleotide ribosomal RNA is filed under the name uncultured eukaryote. RNAcentral describes it as "SSU rRNA". It matches the Rfam family "Eukaryotic small subunit ribosomal RNA", at positions 592 to 1017 of the family's 1831-position model. The record is from RNAcentral.
CAAUAGCGUAUAUUAAAGUUGUUGCGGUUAAAAAGCUCGUAGUUGGAUUUCUGCUGAGGACGACCGGUCCGCCCUCCGGGUGAGCAUCUGGUUCGGCCUUGGCAUCUUCUUGGUGAACGUAUCUGCACUUGACUGUGUGGUGCGGUACCCAGGACUUUUACUUUGAGGAAAUUAGAGUGUUUCAAGCAGGCAUACGCCUUGAAUACAUUAGCAUGGAAUAAUAAGAUAGGACCUCGGUUCUAUUUUGUUGGUUUCUAGAGCUGAGGUAAUGAUUAAUAGGGAUAGUCGGGGGCGUCAGUAUUCAGCUGUCAGAGGUGAAAUUCUUGGAUUUGCUGAAGACUAACUACUGCGAAAGCAUUCGCCAAGGAUGUUUUUCAUUAAUCAGGGAACGAAAGUUAGGGGAUCGAAGACGAUUAGAUACCA